This 76-nucleotide transfer RNA is filed under the name Candidatus Margulisiibacteriota bacterium. RNAcentral describes it as "tRNA-Thr". It matches the Rfam family "tRNA". From Rfam's summary of the family: Transfer RNA (tRNA) molecules are approximately 80 nucleotides in length. The record is from RNAcentral. Lineage: Bacteria; Bacillati; Candidatus Margulisiibacteriota. RNAcentral also lists the same sequence under 1 other name.
GCUCUCGUAGCUCAGUUGGUAGAGCGCAUCCAUGGUAAGGAUGAGGUCAGCGGUUCAAACCCGCUCGAGAGCUCCA